GACGAACGCUGGCGGCGUGCCUAAUACAUGCAAGUCGAACGCAUUUUCUUUCACCGUAGCUUGCUACACCGAAAGAAAAUGAGUGGCGAACGGGUGAGUAACACGUGGGUAACCUGCCCAUCAGCGGGGGAUAACACUUGGAAACAGGUGCUAAUACCGCAUAAUUCCAUUUACCGCAUGGUAGAUGGAUGAAAGGCGCUUUUGCGUCACUGAUGGAUGGACCCGCGGUGCAUUAGCUAGUUGGUGGGGUAACGGCCUACCAAGGCGACGAUGCGUAGCCGACCUGAGAGGGUGAUCGGCCACAUUGGGACUGAGACACGGCCCAG
Molecule: ribosomal RNA, 326 nt
Filed under: uncultured bacterium
Lineage: Bacteria
Description: bacterial SSU rRNA
Rfam family: Bacterial small subunit ribosomal RNA
Source: RNAcentral